Molecule: transfer RNA, 67 nt
Filed under: Kotorella pronosoma
Lineage: Eukaryota; Metazoa; Platyhelminthes; Cestoda; Trypanorhyncha; Tentaculariidae
Description: tRNA-Trp
Source: RNAcentral
AUAAGUUUAAGUUAGUUUAGACUGUGUGUUUUCAAAACACCUAGCAACCCUUCAUGGUUAUCUUAUG